UCGGGAAUUUUGGGCAAUGGGCGAAAGCCUGACCCAGCAACGCCGCGUGAAGGAUGAAGUAUUUCGGUAUGUAAACUUCGAAAGAAUAGGAAGAAUAAAUGACGGUACUAUUUAUAAGGUCCGGCUAACUACGUGCCAGCAGCCGCGGUAAUACGUAGGGACCAAGCGUUGUUCGGAUUUACUGGGCGUAAAGGGCGCGUAGGCGGCAUGACAAGUCACUUGUGAAAUCUCUGGGCUUAACCCAGAACGGCCAAGUGAUACUGUCGCGCUAGAGUGCAGAAGGGGCAAUCGGAAUUCUUGGUGUAGCGGUGAAAUGCGUAGAUAUCAAGAGGAACACCUGAGGUGAAGACGGGUUGCUGGGCUGACACUGACGCUGAGGCGCGAAAGCCAGGGGAGCAAACGGGGAUUAGAUACCCAGGUAGUCCUGAGCGGGCUGGCAAGGCGCAU
Molecule: ribosomal RNA, 447 nt
Filed under: uncultured bacterium
Lineage: Bacteria
Description: bacterial SSU rRNA
Rfam family: Bacterial small subunit ribosomal RNA
Source: RNAcentral